CCUACGGGAGGCAGCAGUAGGGGAUAUUGCACAAUGAGGGAAACCCUGAUGCAGCGACGCCGCGUGGGUGAAGAAGCGCCUCGGCGCGUAAAGCCCUGUCAGCAGGGAAGAAAAUGACGGUACCUGAAGAAGAAGCCCCGGCUGACUACGUGCCAGCAGCCGCGGUAAUACGAAGGGGGCAAGCGUGAUCCGGAUUUACUGGGGGGAAAGGGGGCGCAGACGGCGAUGCAAGCCAGGAGUGAAAGCCCGGGGCCCAACCCCGGGACUGCUCUUGGAACUGGGUGGCUAGAGUGCAGGAGGGGCAGGCGGAAUUCCUGGUGUAGCGGUGAAAUGCGUAGAUAUCAGGAGGAACACCGGUGGCGAAGGCGGCCUGCUGGACUGCAACUGACGUUGAGGCACGAAAGCGUGGGGAGCAAACAGGAUUAGAUACCCUAGUAGUC
This 440-nucleotide ribosomal RNA is filed under the name uncultured bacterium. RNAcentral describes it as "partial 16S ribosomal RNA". It matches the Rfam family "Bacterial small subunit ribosomal RNA", at positions 338 to 795 of the family's 1533-position model. The record is from RNAcentral.